UACGGAGGAUGCAAGCGUUAUCCGGAAUGAUUGGGCGUAAAGCGUCCGCAGGUGGCGAUGUAAGUCUGCUGUUAAAGAGUGAGGCUCAACCUCAUAAAAGCAGUGGAAACUACACGGCUAGAGUGCGUUCGGGGCAGAGGGAAUUCCUGGUGUAGCGGUGAAAUGCGUAGAUAUCAGGAAGAACACCGGUGGCGAAAGCGCUCUGCUAGGCCGCAACUGACACUGAGGGACGAAAGCUAGGGGAGCGAAUGGG
RNAcentral lists this ribosomal RNA (253 nucleotides) under uncultured bacterium. Its description in RNAcentral is "partial 16S ribosomal RNA". It matches the Rfam family "Bacterial small subunit ribosomal RNA", at positions 524 to 776 of the family's 1533-position model. The record is from RNAcentral.